UUAUUACCUUUCAAUCAGACCAAACACGUGACUGUCAGGGAAAUGAAACAGCAAGGCAACAGAGCCCUUAUCAGUAGUAGAAAGCAAAAGCCAUGUUGGAUUGCUGUAAAAUCCCUCACUUGCACUAAAAAUCCUAAGGUGGAGGAGGAUUACUCUCAGGCUUAACCACAGAAGUUGUAUCUGGAGGCUGAGAAUGGUAAAUAGCCAUAGCCAAUGAGAUUGGCAUCAUACAAAGCGCCUUAGAUUGAAGAAGCUGCAUCGCUGCUCCAACGUUUUCUUCCAUCAGUUUAGCGACUUGGCGUUCAGUGCCAUCGUUAGACCAUUUCUCCCACGCAGGUUGUGGUGCCCUUCCACCUUCACCAGAUUCAUCCUAUUGAGAGAUGACAACAACCAGUUUAAGUCAAAAUCCAUUUACUAAAGUUUUGAUAUUUUCUUUUUAAAAGUUUGAUUUUUCUCUUACCUCAACUGAUGAUGACAAAGGCAUAUCAGUAACAAGUGGAGCAACUGCACCGGCUCCACCAAGACGACUCAUGCUCAAAACCUACCAAAAGUUGACCAUAGAAACAUAUAAAAUCAUCAUUCAAAGAGAUAAGCUUUAUCCCAUGAAAACAAAAAAAGCUCAAAUAAAAGAUUUUUUUUUUUAAAUUAUGUUUAUCAGAAAGACAUCAUUGCAGUGUCUCCAUUAUCUAUUUAAAGUAAAGAAAGUAAAGAAAGACAUCCUUUUUAGCUUGGUAAGAGAAGCUUUAAGCAACCUACUGCAUUUUGAUAUUAAGAAGCGUUUGAUCUAAGAGAUUAUAUAUAUAAUCAGAGCAUGAUGAUUAUACUAGAUGUUUUAAUAUGGUAUUUUAAUCCUAAACCAUGAUUAGCCUUCUCUACAUGACAAAACUAAAAAAAGUGAAAAGAGACUAAGUGCCAAAGAAAAACAAAGACUUGUUUAUCCUUUCCUACAUUAAAAAAAUCAAUCUAACCAAGGUUGAAAUUAGGUUGAAGAGUAGGUGAAGGUAGGACCAUAAUUAAAGACCCAAAAAAUCCAUUUUGUAGAAUUUAAACAUUACUCAAUAACUUCAAAAACAUGAUUUUCAGAUCUAACACAAACAACUAGUUCAAGAAUUUAAACAUUACCUUAACUUGGAGCCUGAGAAACUUUACAUAAUCCACAAUCUCAUCAAUCAUAGCAGCUCUAUCUGUCUGCAAAUAAAAAUGAAAGGACCAAGAAGUGUUAAACUUUCAAGAAUUCUAAAUGUUACCAAAACCUUCAAAGAUAGCAACCUUGUUAACAGUAGGUACAAGCUCUUGCAACGCCCUGAUCCGCUCCGCUAUUCUUUCCCUCGUGAGUGUUUCGUUCAUCUCUAUGCUUUUGAUUCUUCUAAUUUGAAAUUAAAUGUAAUCUGAUUGUUGUUGAUUCGAUUACUUUAUAGCACCUGGAUUCUCCUGAUAACAAACCGGAUCUUCCAUGGGAGUUUUCAGAGGCCAACAAAUCCAAGGUGAGUCACUGAAUCAAAUCCCUUCUUUGCUAAUGAUAAUGACGAAAACAAUUUACAGUGUGUUGAACUAAUUGGGGCUUUCUGUAAUAUAGAUUGUCACCUUUGUUACCUAAUUUUUGAUGUGUAAGGUGUUAAGUUACAGCACAUAUGUGGAAAAAUCUUUAGCUCUAGGGUCCAUACAGAGUAGAAAGAGUUCAAGGAAUGGUUUGUUUGAUCCUGUGAGUUAGCAUUUUCCUAGAAAGGGUAGUUAAACAGCGAAGAAUUGGAAUUCCUGAUAUUUUCUUUGAAUUCGCUAUUUAGGAACUGAUAUAAGGGAGAAAGACUGUCGGGGAAAUAGUAAACUGGUUUUAUGGAGUAGGAAUACUAGUAUAUCUUGUGCAUUUUGGUUCCUGUUCACUGCUUCUGUCAUGUCUAGCUCCCAUGCAUGUCGUUCUAAUAGUUUGUUUAAUCUCUCUAGGUUAAGGAGAUACUCUCUUACUACCCAUCAAACUACAAGCAGUCUGCAGUGAUCCCUCUUCUUGAUCUUGCACAGCAACAGCAUGGUGGCUGGCUCCCUGUUUCUGCAAUGAAUGCGGUACUUCUUUUGUUUUAAAGUAUUUUUCAGCUGUACUCUUAAUGAAAAGACUGUGAAGUUGAUGUUUUUAAUAUUCUGAAGUUACCAGGUUCUUUUAUCUGUUGAUAUGAUUUUACCAACCUAGCAAUAUAACAAAAAUUUUGCAGGUUGCAAAAGUUAUAGAAGUUGCUCCUAUCCGUGUUUAUGAGGUUGCAACCUUCUACUCAAUGUUCAACAGGGCAAAGGUACUUACUACUAAGUCAAGUCUCUCUGCUGUACUCACCAAAAUACACAUCGAACACUCAAUUCUUCAUUUUGCUCUUACAGGUCGGAAAGUACCACCUGCUAGUUUGUGGCACAACACCUUGCAUGAUCCGUGGUUCACGAGAGAUCGAAUCAGCUUUGCUAGACCAUUUGGGAGUGAAGCGCGGUGGUAAGGCUCUAUAAUCCACCUUUCAUAAACAAAAUCAUAUAGGUUGCUCAUUCAUAACGAUAUCUGGCUUUAAUCAUGUAUAUUGCAGAAGUCACAAAGGAUGGUUUGUUCUCUGUUGGAGAGAUGGAAUGCAUGGUAUGUUGUUCUUAUCACCUAGAUAGGUACCAAAGGAAGAUACAGUACAGGUCUAAUGUAAUCGGUUUCGUUGACAGGGAUGCUGUGUGAAUGCGCCCAUGAUCACUGUGGCGGAUUAUUCCAAUGGAUCAGAAGGAUACACAUAUAACUAUUUCGUAUGUCAAAUCUCAUCAAAUUAACUUUUCUGUUCUUCCUUCGUUUAUGUGGGUAUAAGAUGACAAAGAGUUAAACCGUAUUUACACUUGUCUUAUUGCUACAAUACACAGGAAGAUGUUACACCUGAGAAAGUUGUAGAGAUCGUUGAGAAGCUGAGAAAAGGAGAAAAGCCACCGGUAAGACAUUAAACUUACCUUUAAACCAAAAGCCGAAAGCCAAAUGCAACUUCUCAUUAUCUAAUCUUUUGUUGCAGCAUGGAACUCAAAACCCGAAGAGGAUCAAGUGCGGACCUGAAGGAGGAAACAAGACACUGCUCGGCGAACCAAAGCCACCACAGUUCCGUGAUCUUGACGCUUGCUAAGCUAAGUUAUUUAAGCCGCCGGUUCUAUGUGGUUCAAAUAAUGCAAAAGGCUAUAGUGAUGUUUGAAGCCUAUAGCAUGAGAUUUGAGUUUGCAUACUCUUUGUAGUCUUCUUGAUUUGAAAUUUUAGACGCCGUUUUAAAACGAAUAAAAGCAUUUCUUUUGUUAUCAUCUCACUUCCAAGACUUGUGAAAUUGAUGUAAUAAAAACAUUUCCAAAAUAUUGAUUUCUUUUGGAACAUUAUUUGGUUAUUUUGUCACUCCCAAGUCAUACAAAAUAAAUAAUUAAUACAAGGGUUAACAUAUUCAAAUACUUUAUUUUUCUUCAGGUCCCACACACUCACCGCUACUACUACUACUACUAAAAUACCCCUUCAAGCUCCAUCCUCAACCUCCUACUAAAGUCAUGAAAACAUAAAGUUGCUUUCAUCAAAGUCCACCUAAAAUGAUAACAAAUCAUAUUUAAUCAAGUGAGCUUUUUGACAAAUCCUCCCUUCUACUGCAAAUCCUAUUGAUUCAAUCUCCAAAGCAUUUUUCUUAUUAUUACCUUUCAAUCAGACCAAACACGUGACUGUCAGGGAAAUGAAACAGCAAGGCAACAGAGCCCUUAUCAGUAGUAGAAAGCAAAAGCCAUGUUGGAUUGCUGUAAAAUCCCUCACUUGCACUAAAAAUCCUAAGGUGGAGGAGGAUUACUCUCAGGCUUAACCACAGAAGUUGUAUCUGGAGGCUGAGAAUGGUAAAUAGCCAUAGCCAAUGAGAUUGGCAUCAUACAAAGCGCCUUAGAUUGAAGAAGCUGCAUCGCUGCUCCAACGUUUUCUUCCAUCAGU
This 3946-nucleotide long non-coding RNA is filed under the name Brassica napus (rape). RNAcentral describes it as "long non-coding RNA (BNAP_LNC025174)". Lineage: Eukaryota; Viridiplantae; Streptophyta; Magnoliopsida; Brassicales; Brassicaceae. The record is from RNAcentral.